UGUAGGGUGCAAGCGUUAAUCGGAAUUACUGGGCGUAAAGCGUGCGCAGGCGGUCCGCUAAGACAGAUGUGAAAUCCCCGGGCUUAACCUGGGAACUGCAUUUGUGACUGGCGGGCUAGAGUAUGGCAGAGGGGGUAGAAUUCACGUGUAGCAGUGAAAUAGCGUAGAGAUGUGGAGGAAUACCGAUGGCGAAGGCAGCCCCUCGGGCAAUAACUGACGCUCAUGCACGAAAGACGUGGGGAGCAAACAAGGAUU
RNAcentral lists this ribosomal RNA (255 nucleotides) under uncultured bacterium. Its description in RNAcentral is "partial 16S ribosomal RNA". It matches the Rfam family "Bacterial small subunit ribosomal RNA", at positions 526 to 779 of the family's 1533-position model. The record is from RNAcentral.